AUGAACCCGCCGCCCGCGGGGCUCGAACUCGCGCGCAUCGCCCCUGCCCCGACCCGGCCCGGAGCAGCUCUGGGACCCCAAGCGCGCGCACUCGCCGGUCGCCAGGAGCAGACGCACAGCGACACUCUGCAGAACGAGCCGUCUCAGACCACGCGCCCUCGCCCCGCCGCCCCGGGGUCCGGCAGCCGGGGCCCCGCAGCGCCCGCCCCUGGCCCCAGCCCGGCCCAGGUUUGCCGCAGCCGCGGGAGACGCGCGCUCACCUACUGGCGACUCCUCGGCGGCCGGGCCCGACCCUGCGCUCGCUGCGCGUCGCUUUCGCCGUCCGCCGGUGGCUGGCUGUCCCGCCGCUCGGCGUCCCGGCGGCCCGACCUCGGCGCGGGAGCGCGCGGGGCGGCGCGGGGAGGGCGCGGGCUGGCAGCGCCGCUCCUCCGCUGCCUGCGCGCCUCCGCAGCGCCAGGGCCGGCCGCCGGCUGCAGCCCAAACCUGACUCACGGCGGCGGCGGCGGCGGGCGCAGCCACCUCCCGCCUCCUCCCGCCGGUGGGGUGGGCGCUGCGGGCGCCGGCCGGAAGUGGCGACCUUGCGGGUGGGCAGGCUGGGCAGGGAUGGGCUCUCCCGCAGCGCCCAGCCCGGCGCCCGCGCCACCUGCCUGCGUCUCCCAGAUCCCACCCGCUCCCUGUGUCCUCCCUCUGGCUGGGCCCCGGCCCCUCGCUGAGCCGUCCCACCUGUCUUUCCGGGAGGCCCUUCCCCUUCUGUGCUUCCCCUGUCUCGCCCCGCCCCGGUUCCCAGGACCCUUCCCUCUGUGCUGCCCUUCUCUGCCCGGUGAGUUUCCUGCUCCAUCUGGGCUCUCUCUGCGUCUCAGCCCUUGCCCCUACCCACCUAGUCCCAGGCCAGGUGGGUGUCUGGGCCUCCCAAGCCCUCUGCCCACAGAGCCCUCUGCCCACAGUCUGUCUUCACGAAGUCAGUGCUCACGUCUAGCCAGGCUCCUGUCUGCGCGCCUGUCCCCACAGGACUCCGCUCCUAUCAAGCCCCACCAGGGCCCUAGUUCCUCCUGA
RNAcentral lists this long non-coding RNA (1053 nucleotides) under Bos grunniens (domestic yak). RNAcentral describes it as "lncRNA (ENSBGRG00000008445.1)". The record is from RNAcentral. Lineage: Eukaryota; Metazoa; Chordata; Mammalia; Artiodactyla; Bovidae.